CCCAAAGAACACCAAUUUGGGCCACUAUUUGAAAAGAGUGGGUUUUUAGAAUAAUUUGUCACCGUUAAUCGGAUCAGUGAGUUGUUAUAAGGCCCGGCACCGAAUGUGGGUGGCCCAAUGCUGAAGUUGUUGGUUUAGUUUCCAAUAUUUACGAUUUCUACCCCUAUAGGACGUCUCUUGUCAGCAAAUACCAUCCCUCUCACAUGGCUAUAGGGUUUAGGUAUGGCAGCAAGCUUCCAAUAUAACUAAUGGACCCAGAUCAACCUUAUAUCACCAAAACAAAAUUCUUGCGAAGCAUCAGAUCUGAGAAGAACCUAUCUUUGGCGUCUGCCAAUCUCCUUCAUCACCAUGUGAGUUUAUGCUUAUCUACUCUCAACAGCCGUCCUUUCGAUCUAAUGCUACUGUAAGUUCCUUUUUUCAAUUUAUUGAACCUAAUAACUUCUACUUCAACAAUUUUCAAGGAAUCGAAUUUAAUUCAUAGUAUAUACAUAUAAACCCUAACUUUCUCUUCUAGUUUAUUGAAUAACCGGUUCCCUUGGCUGCGUUUGAGUGUUCGCAGGCAAGAGGUUUGUUCUUCAUUUUUCUGAUUUUAUUUUUGUUUAUUUUUGAUUUUGAUAUAGAACCCAGAAAAGUAGCAGAGAUACUAUGCAUAUAGGUCUAUAGCAAGCUUAUAGAACAAUUUUGAUUACAAAAAUUUAUAUAAACUUGGAGUUUUACUUGUUGGUAGAUCCAUAGUUUGAAUAUUAAUUUUAUUUUUUUUAGGUGGAUAUGUCUGUUUUUGCUCAAUAAUUCAGCUGGUUCUUUUUUUUCUUUUGCAUCUUAGAACCGGAGUUCAAUUAUAUUAAAAUACUCAGUGACUUUCUCUUCCUUUCUCUAUUGUUUUUUGUUUCACAAGUGAGCAUAAAUGACUAGUUUUCCAUACUUGUUUAUUGUGAAAACACCUGAUGUAUGAAUGAUGGGGUUGUUUCUGCUUGCCACCCAUACCACUGUUUGUUUAGAUAUCUUACACAUGGAAUACCAAAUCCCAACAUAGUGGUAGCUACAGUUACUGGGGGCUGAAGAAACCCAAUUCAAAGUUGUUGCCUUUGGACACUAAAAGGGUCCCCAUCUUUACUUGUUGUUCAUUCCAUGUUGUGGUGUCCUUGGAAGUGCACAGUUGGAAAAGGAGGAUGAGAGGCAAAGCUUUCAGUGACAAUUUCUGGGAAUUUGCAGGUGUGAAAAACUCAAAUGUAGUUUAAAUUUCACUCUAAGUUUUUUUUUUUAUGUGGAUUGGUGUGUACACAUUGAUAUUGUUUGAUCUAGUUGACAUUUUUGUUUAUAGUUGUAAUUUUGUCUUGUAAUGUAGACUUUGAUUAUUCAAUGGCUUUUGUGUUGAAAAAUAGACAAAGAAAUGAUUAUUGAAAGGCCAACUUGAGUAGAAAGAUGAAGUUUUAGCUUAAUUACUAACUUCUUGACUAAUCAGAACAUUGUGGUCUUCAUCAAUGUGAACCGGAAGGAGGGAACAUCUAGCUAAGAAAAAGCUCCAUUGUAAGUAUGAAUUCUAGAAUAGCUCAUCCCGUUGAGACUCUGAUUCUUGUCUAGUUUUAAAAUUUCAAGCUGUGAUAAAGCAGUUUGGUAGAACUGGUUAUGAAAGCUCAGAUGUAAUGGUGAUAUAUGAGGUUGAGAGGCAGAGACAUCAACAGCUUGAGAAACUGUAUAGGUCUACUCGUGCAGGAAAGGUAUACAUGAACUUUGUUUACAAUGUAGAAUUUUGACUAUAGUUGAAAAUUUUGUAAUACUCAAUGUGAUGAUAGUUAGUGUUAUGAUCUCACAUUUUGGGAAAGAACAAAGUUUGAUUUGAUAGGUGACAUGACAAUGAAACCUGCUAGGCAUAUAUAGGUGAUUAUUCGUUUUGCUAUCUUGGAUCACAAGUCUGGGAACAUCUUGUCCUGCUAAUCUAAAAUGUUUGAUUUUUUUGAGGUAUUUUUAUUUCUCUUUGGUGCCUAACUUAUUCUAUUUGUUAAACUCAAUUUUCAUAAUUCUUAUGCUCAGGAUUUUCAUAAAGAAAUUGCACAUGCAGCUGAAGCAUUGACAGCGAUAGGACAUAAGCAUAUUGAAGCAGGUUAAUGUACGGGUGGCUUUGUUAGAAGGGAAUUAAUGGAUUCUAUUUUGAAACAGAUUGAGAACCGGGAACGAUCAUUCACGCAAACAAAUGGAAUGAACAACCUCAAAUUAAAAGGUAGGAAUGUCCAUUUUUUUUAUAACUGUGGUUGUUACAAGUUAUGAUUUUUGUUCAUUGAUAUGUAUUUGAGUAUGAAGCCGAUGAAGUGGCAUAUGACAAACUGAAGCUUAAUGACUUUCUGAUCAAACUGUGAUGUACGAAUUAACCUGCUCAAGACCUUGAGACAACAAUAUCGUGCAGUUUUUCCUUAUUGAGUUGUACUAGUGAAAGAAACAUCAACGUAUUGACCAGGAAUGUUUACUUAUGGUAGGUAUAGGCUUGUAAGUUGUAAUAGGUUUCUUUUUUAGGUAGUGCAAUAAGUUGUAGUUACAUUUGUAACAAAUUGUAGAUUUUGAUUGAAUGAUGAUGUAUAUGAAUAAAUUGGUAGACAUCAUUCAUGUAUUCAACUAUUUACUGUUUUUUGUUUUAUUAUUAUUAUUAUUAUUUUUUAA
Long non-coding RNA from Rosa chinensis, 2652 nucleotides. RefSeq lists it as uncharacterized. Lineage: Eukaryota; Viridiplantae; Streptophyta; Magnoliopsida; Rosales; Rosaceae. The record is from RefSeq and is a predicted model, not a curated record. The transcript is spliced from 2 exons.